UUGCAGUUAAUUUUUCUCAGUGUCAGUUUCCAGGACGACAUUCCUCCGUUACAUAACUUAGUAUCGGCACAAAAAUGUUCUUGAUACCCAUAGUUUUGGAAAGUGUGAGUGAAUGGAUGGUCAUACAGGGACGAUCCAAUGGCCUGGUUGAUUUCUAUAGAACCUGGUUGGAAUACAAAAAUUGGUUUGGUUUGGGUCCUUCGAUUCAGAAUUUUGGAUAGGAAAUUAUCUCAUUCAAGAACUUACAACAGCAGAAUACAACACGCUACGAGUUGAAUUCUUAGUUGAUUUGACAUUAUAUUCCGCCCAAUACUCAUGGUUCGUGGUAGACAGAGAGGGAAAAUACUAUCGAGCACAAUUCAGUAACUUUACAGGAAAUACAUGUUAGCAUGUUAAUAGCAGCCCAAGUCAUCAACAUUAUUCCAUACCUUAUAUAAAUUUGAUACAUGAGCUAGUAUUCUAAUGAAAUCAAUAUUUGAGCAUAUUUGUUUAUUAUAUUGUUGGUAUAAAGUUGAGGUACUUG
Long non-coding RNA from Ostrea edulis (European flat oyster), 523 nucleotides. RefSeq lists it as uncharacterized. NCBI's taxonomy places the organism in Eukaryota, Metazoa, Mollusca, Bivalvia, Ostreida, Ostreidae. The record is from RefSeq and is a predicted model, not a curated record. The transcript has 3 exons.